AAGUCGUAACAAGGUUUCCGUAGGUGAACCUGCGGAAGGAUCAUUACCAAAUCCAAAACCUUAUCAACACCCAAACUUGUGCACUGAGAGUGGUCCGUUCUCCUCGGUACUUGUUGUCGUAUGUAUGUAUGUAUGUACGUACAACAAACAGGGAGGAGGAGAACGCUUUUUUUUCAACCCCUUUUCAACCAUUAUCUUAACCAUGUGAUGCUGAAAGCAAAAAAAAAACGAAACAUGAGACAACUUUUAACGGUGGAUCUCUUGGCUCGU
RNAcentral lists this unclassified non-coding RNA (270 nucleotides) under fungal sp. RNAcentral's name for it is "partial internal transcribed spacer region". The stretch from base 1 to 46 matches the Rfam family "Eukaryotic small subunit ribosomal RNA", at positions 1786 to 1831 of the family's 1831-position model. Lineage: Eukaryota; Fungi. The record is from RNAcentral.